Molecule: ribosomal RNA, 497 nt
Filed under: uncultured bacterium
Lineage: Bacteria
Description: partial 16S ribosomal RNA
Rfam family: Bacterial small subunit ribosomal RNA
Source: RNAcentral
GAUGAACGCUGGCGGCGUGCCUAAUACAUGCAAGUCGAGCGAACAGACGAGGAGCUUGCUCCUCUGACGUUAGCGGCGGAAGGGUGAGUAACACGUGGAUAACCUACCUAUAAGACUGGGAUAAAUUCGGGAAACCGGAGCUAAUACCGGAUAAUAUAUUGAACCGCAUGGUUCAAUAGUGAAAGACGGUUUUGCUGUCACUUAUAGAUGGAUCCGCGCCGCAUUAGCUAGUUGGUAAGGUAACGGCUUACCAAGGCAACGAUGCGUAGCCGACCUGAGAGGGUGAUCGGCCACACUGGAACUGAGACACGGUCCAGACUCCUACGGGAGGCAGCAGUAGGGAAUCUUCCGCAAUGGGCGAAAGCCUGACGGAGCAACGCCGCGUGAGUGAUGAAGGUCUUCGGAUCGUAAAACUCUGUUAUUAGGGAAGAACAAAUGUGUAAGUAACUAUGCACGUCUUGACGGUACCUAAUCAGAAAGCCACGGCUAACUACGUG